Molecule: ribosomal RNA, 615 nt
Filed under: uncultured yeast
Lineage: Eukaryota; Fungi
Description: eukaryotic LSU rRNA
Rfam family: Eukaryotic large subunit ribosomal RNA
Source: RNAcentral
GCAUAUCAAUAAGCGGAGGAAAAGAAACCAACCGGGAUUGCCUUAGUAACGGCGAGUGAAGCGGCAAAAGCUCAAAUUUGAAAUCUGGUACCUUCGGUGCCCGAGUUGUAAUUUGGAGAGGGCAACUUUGGGGCCGUUCCUUGUCUAUGUUCCUUGGAACAGGACGUCAUAGAGGGUGAGAAUCCCGUGUGGCGAGGAGUGCGGUUCUUUGUAAAGUGCCUUCGAAGAGUCGAGUUGUUUGGGAAUGCAGCUCUAAGUGGGUGGUAAAUUCCAUCUAAAGCUAAAUAUUGGCGAGAGACCGGUAGCGAACAAGUACAGUGAUGGAAAGAUGAAAAGAACUUUGAAAAGAGAGUGAAAAAGUACGUGAAAUUGUUGAAAGGGAAGGGCAUUUGAUCAGACAUGGUGUUUUGUGCCCUCUGCUCCUUGUGGGUAGGGGAAUCUCGCAUUUCACUGGGCCAGCAUCAGUUUUGGUGGCAGGAUAAAUCCAUAGGAAUGUAGCUUGCCUCGGUAAGUAUUAUAGCCUGUGGGAAUACUGCCAGCUGGGACUGAGGACUGCGACGUAAGUCAAGGAUGCUGGCAUACUGGUUAUAUGCCGUCCGUCUUGAAACACGGACC